GAGUCGACCCCUAAGGCGAGGCCGAAAGGCGUAGUCGAUGGGAAACAGGUUAAUAUUCCUGUACUUGGUGUUACUGCGAAGGGGGGACGGAGAAGGCUAUGUUGGCCGGGCGACGGUUGUCCCGGUUUAAGCGUGUAGGCUGGUUUUCCAGGCAAAUCCGGAAAAUCAAGGCUGAGGCGUGAUGACGAGGCACUACGGUGCUGAAGCGACAAAUGCCCUGCUUCCAGGAAAAGCCUCUAAGCAUCAGGUAACAUCAAAUCGUACCCCAAACCGACACAGGUGGUCAGGUAGAGAAUACCAAGGCGCUUGAGAGAACUCGGGUGAAGGAACUAGGCAAAAUGGUGCCGUAACUUCGGGAGAAGGCACGCUGAUAUGUAGGUGAAGCGACUUGCUCGUGGAGCUGAAAUCAGUCGAAGAUACCAGCUGGCUGCAACUGUUUAUUAAAAACACAGCACUGUGCAAACACGAAAGUGGACGUAUACGGUGUGACGCCUGCCCGGUGCCGGAAGGUUAAUUGAUGGGGUUAGCGGUAACGCGAAGCUCUUGAUCGAAGCCCCGGUAAACGGCGGCCGUAACUAUAACGGUCCUAAGGUAGCGAAAUUCCUUGUCGGGUAAGUUCCGACCUGCACGAAUGGCGUAAUGAUGGCCAGGCUGUCUCCACCCGAGACUCAGUGAAAUUGAACUCGCUGUGAAGAUGCAGUGUACCCGCGGCAAGACGGAAAGACCCCGUGAACCUUUACUAUAGCUUGACACUGAACAUUGAGCCUUGAUGUGUAGGAUAGGUGGGAGGCUUUGAAGUGUGGACGCCAGUCUGCAUGGAGCCGACCUUGAAAUACCACCCUUUAAUGUUUGAUGUUCUAACGUGGGCCCCUUACCGGGGUUGCGGACAGUGUCUGGUGGGUAGUUUGACUGGGGCGGUCUCCUCCUAAAGAGUAACGGAGGAGCACGAAGGUUGGCUAAUCCUGGUCGGACAUCAGGAGGUUAGUGCAAUGGCAUAAGCCAGCUUGACUGCGAGCGUGACGGCGCGAGCAGGUGCGAAAGCAGGUCAUAGUGAUCCGGUGGUUCUGAAUGGAAGGGCCAUCGCUCAACGGAUAAAAGGUACUCCGGGGAUAACAGGCUGAUACCGCCCAAGAGUUCAUAUCGACGGCGGUGUUUGGCACCUCGAUGUCGGCUCAUCACAUCCUGGGGCUGAAGUAGGUCCCAAGGGUAUGGCUGUUCGCCAUUUAAAGUGGUACGCGAGCUGGGUUUAGAACGUCGUGAGACAGUUCGGUCCCUAUCUGCCGUGGGCGCUGGAGAACUGAGGGGGGCUGCUCCUAGUACGAGAGGACCGGAGUGGACGCAUCACUGGUGUUCGGGUUGUCAUGCCAAUGGCACUGCCCGGUAGCUAAAUGCGGAAGAGAUAAGUGCUGAAAGCAUCUAAGCACGAAACUUGCCCCGAGAUGAGUUCUCCCUGACUCCUUGAGAGUCCUGAAGGAACGUUGAAGACGACGACGUUGAUAGGCCGGGUGUGUAAGCGCAGCGAUGCGUUGAGCUAACCGGUACUAAUGAACCGUGAGGCUUAACCUUACAACGCCGAAG
RNAcentral lists this ribosomal RNA (1578 nucleotides) under Escherichia coli. RNAcentral describes it as "partial 23S ribosomal RNA". It matches the Rfam family "Bacterial large subunit ribosomal RNA", at positions 1379 to 2925 of the family's 2925-position model. The record is from RNAcentral. Lineage: Bacteria; Pseudomonadati; Pseudomonadota; Gammaproteobacteria; Enterobacterales; Enterobacteriaceae.